GACUUAAUAGUGUAGUGGUAAGCACAUUCCAUCAUUAUCUACGUACUUCUGAGCAAACAAUGGCAUAAACGUAAGCUUAGGCGUGUCGGUUGGUGAUGGAAAGGUCAUGGGUUCAAAUCCCACCUAGUCCA
Non-coding RNA from Hypoxylon fuscum, 131 nucleotides. The record is from the annotation of a GenBank genome assembly. NCBI's taxonomy places the organism in Eukaryota, Fungi, Ascomycota, Sordariomycetes, Xylariales, Hypoxylaceae.